CACACACACACACACACACGGGUAAACCCACACAGAUGAAAUCCCCUCUUCAGAGAAGCCAGCUACAGGAAACUGACUUAUGCACAGGAACUUGCUAAUCUCUAUCGUCACAUUCGGAUUGUUCCUGCCACCUCAGUCACCGCGCACGCUAAACCCAACCAUCUUGGGCUGGAUUCUCUACUAGCUCAGCUCUGACAUCUUUGGUUCUUCCAGUGUGAAUCAGGGAUAUUCUUGGGGAGGAAGGAAAAUGUUGAUUCCAGAAGGAAAUCCUAAUAGUGAAAGGGCUCGGGCAGCUUUUGCUUUUCCUUACCUGCACUGAACAGAUUGACUUCCGGAGUCAGUCAUUUUGGUGUCAAGAAAUUUCUUCAGCAUUCUACAACAGUUCCCAAAGUGGCCGGGAUCCAUUAGAAACUGAAGCUGCUGUCUGUGGCCUUCCCCACUUCGUGGAGCAGAAGCCAACAGAGAGCUGUUGGAAAGCGAGCAUUCACACAUCAGUUGAAGACUGGCCUUUGGAACUUUUCAAUGUAGAUCGCGUGUCUCCCUUGGAUGGACGGGGAGAAUUGCUGUCGGGGGUGCUGAGAACACAACCCCCUCCGGGUUUCAUUCCCUGUGUUGAAUGGCCUUUGCUUCAGCAGCCCACUGAGGGCCCUUUCCCUUGGGAUUCUGAACUUGCAAC
RNAcentral lists this long non-coding RNA (676 nucleotides) under Ursus maritimus (polar bear). Its description in RNAcentral is "lncRNA (ENSUMAG00000001092.1)". Lineage: Eukaryota; Metazoa; Chordata; Mammalia; Carnivora; Ursidae. The record is from RNAcentral.